GUGGGGAAUAUUGCGCAAUGGGCGGAAGCCUGACGCAGCGACGCCGCGUGAGGGAUGAAGGCCUUCGGGUUGUAAACCUCUUUCAGCUCCGAAGAAGCGAGAGUGACGGUAGGAGCAGAAGAAGCACCGGCUAACUACGUGCCAGCAGCCGCGGUAAUACGUAGGGUGCAAGCGUUGUCCGGAAUUAUUGGGCGUAAAGAGCUCGUAGGCGGCUCGUCGCGUCUGCUGUGAAAGCCCGGGGCUUAACCCCGGGUCUGCAGUGGGUACGGGCGGGCUAGAGUGCGGUAGGGGAGACUGGAAUUCCUGGUGUAGCGGUGAAAUGCGCAGAUAUCAGGAGGAACACCGGUGGCGAAGGCGGGUCUCUGGGCCGUAACUGACGCUGAGGAGCGAAAGCAUGGGUAGCGAACAGGAUUAGAUACCCUUGUAGUCC
This 430-nucleotide ribosomal RNA is filed under the name uncultured bacterium. RNAcentral's name for it is "bacterial SSU rRNA". It matches the Rfam family "Bacterial small subunit ribosomal RNA", at positions 354 to 796 of the family's 1533-position model. The record is from RNAcentral.